This 461-nucleotide long non-coding RNA is filed under the name Nicotiana benthamiana. RNAcentral's name for it is "long non-coding RNA (NBEN_LNC039787)". Lineage: Eukaryota; Viridiplantae; Streptophyta; Magnoliopsida; Solanales; Solanaceae. The record is from RNAcentral.
GAAUAUCAAAUGCCAUAUAUUUUAUAUCAAAUAACAUUCACAAAAAUAUAUUCUAGUUAUCAAAUAUAAUAUUGGAUCUAGGGCAUAUUUAUUAUAUCCCUAACAAAACAUUUGUUGAAUUGCCGGUUUACAGAGAAAUAAGUUUUGUCCUUGAACUUUCCUGGUGUUGAUGGAUACAAUUGCUCUUCUAAUGGCCGCAUUUUCUUGAACAAAAAGAGAAAAAAGAAACUUCUGGGAUUGUUUUGUAAUUGAGAGAAAAUUGGAACUUCGUUAGAUGCAGAGGAAAAUGGUGGAUUUUUUGAGUCUGCACCUGAGGAAAGAAGAAGAAAGAAAAGGAAUAUAUAUAUAUUGAAAGAAAACUGCAAAACGCGUUAGAGAAAGAGAGAGAAAGGAAAAAUAUUCAAAGGAUAAAGAAAUUGGAUGAGAGAAAGAGAGAGUUUCGAGGAGACAGCCAAUGCCAA